GGACUGUAGCUCAGUGGUAGAGUACUUGCCUAGCAUGUGUGAGGCACUGGGUUUGAUCCUCAGCACCA
Molecule: transfer RNA, 68 nt
Filed under: Marmota monax (woodchuck)
Lineage: Eukaryota; Metazoa; Chordata; Mammalia; Rodentia; Sciuridae
Description: tRNA.Ala
Source: RNAcentral